AUUGAACGCUGGCGGCAGGCCUAACACAUGCAAGUCGAGCGAGCGGCGGACGGGUGAGUAAUGUAUGGGGAACUGCCCGAUAGAGGGGGAUAACUACUGGAAACGGUGGCUAAUACCGCAUACUAUCGGAUGCACCCAUAUGGGAUUAGCUAGUAGGUGGGGUAAAGGCUCACCUGGGCGACGAUCCCUAGCUGGUCUGAGAGGAUGACCAGCCACACUGGAACUGAGACACGGCCCAGACUCCUACGUGAGGCAGCAGUGGGGAAUAUUGCACAAUGGGCGCAAGCCUGAUGCAGCCAUGCCGCGUGUAUGAAGAAGGCCUUAGGGUUGUAAAGUACUUUCAGCGGGGAGGCGUUACCCGCAGAAGAAGCACCGGCUAACUCCGUGCCAGCAGCCGCGGUAAUUC
This 406-nucleotide ribosomal RNA is filed under the name uncultured bacterium. RNAcentral describes it as "partial 16S ribosomal RNA". It matches the Rfam family "Bacterial small subunit ribosomal RNA", at positions 30 to 526 of the family's 1533-position model. The record is from RNAcentral.